AUUGAACGCUGGCGGCAGGCCUAACACAUGCAAGUCGAGCGGAUGAAGGGAGCUUGCUCCUGGAUUCAGCGGCGGACGGGUGAGUAAUGCCUAGGAAUCUGCCUGGUAGUGGGGGAUAACGUCCGGAAACGGGCGCUAAUACCGCAUACGUCCUGAGGGAGAAAGUGGGGGAUCUUCGGACCUCACGCUAUCAGAUGAGCCUAGGUCGGAUUAGCUAGUUGGUGGGGUAAAGGCCUACCAAGGCGACGAUCCGUAACUGGUCUGAGAGGAUGAUCAGUCACACUGGAACUGAGACACGGUCCAGACUCCUACGGGAGGCAGCAGUGGGGAAUAUUGGACAAAGGGCGAAAGCCUGAUCCAGCCAUGCCGCGUGUGUGAAGAAGGUCUUCGGAUUGUAAAGCACUUUAAGUUGGGAGGAAGGGCAGUAAGUUAAUACCUUGCUUUUUUGACGUUACCAACAGAAUAAGCACCGGCUAACUUCGUG
Molecule: ribosomal RNA, 484 nt
Filed under: uncultured bacterium
Lineage: Bacteria
Description: partial 16S ribosomal RNA
Rfam family: Bacterial small subunit ribosomal RNA
Source: RNAcentral